This 228-nucleotide ribosomal RNA is filed under the name uncultured bacterium. RNAcentral's name for it is "partial 16S ribosomal RNA". It matches the Rfam family "Bacterial small subunit ribosomal RNA", at positions 524 to 751 of the family's 1533-position model. The record is from RNAcentral.
UACGGAGGGGCGAGCGUUGCUCGGAAUUAUUGGGCGUAAAGACGUAUGUAGGCGGUCAAGCAAGUCAGACGUGUAAUCCCUCGGCUCAACUGAGGAGUUGCGUUUGAUACUACAUGACUUGAGUGUAUGAGAGGAAAGUGGAAUUCCCAGUGUAGCGGUGAAAUGCGUAGAUAUCUGGAGGAACACCGGUGGCGAAGGCGGCAUCCUGGACCGAGAUCGACGCUGAGG